AGAAAUGUCAUCUGUCAUAUAUAAAAUUUCAUUCUUAACCUCAAAAUGUAUCUAAUUCAGAGCUUCCCAAAUGUGGGCUAUAGUUCCCACUUUUGGGCACCGCAGGGCAAAAGGAGCUUUGUAAGAGACGCAGAAAUGUAUGAGACAAAAUAAGUUUGGGAACCGCUGACAAUUGAAUUGGAUUAAAGUAAAGUAAGUCGUGGUAGCCUGGAGGUUAAAGGCCCGCCUUCCAUACGUAAGGGCGCGGGUUCGAAACCUGGCAAGUACCAAUGUGAUCUUUUCCGAGGCAUAUGUACUUUCUAAGAGUAUUUAGACACAACUGACGGACGGUGAAGGAAAACAUCGUGAGGAAAACUGGUCUUAUAAUUUCAAAUUAUAAGAUUGAAAUCGCCAACCCGUCUUGAGCAAGCGUGGUGAUUAAUGCUCUAACCCUCUCCAUGUGACAAUAGGCUUUUGCUCAGUAGUGGGCUCCUAUAGGCUGGUGAUGAUGAUGAAAGUAAAGUAAAUAGUCAAAUGAAAGAAUAAAAACAAACUUAACUGCCUUUAAUUGUUCUUAUAAUCUGUCUAAAUAACAUGUCCUACUUCCUCAUGAGUGCGUGCGGCUGGAAGUGAUUCACUAUGUUCACCCACCAGCUAUCUUCCACACCUUUAGUGAACUCUCUUAUGAAUCUGUAGUUCAGUAUGAAUAUAUUGUCCUGGUACUCGGGCUGUACUC
Molecule: long non-coding RNA, 715 nt
Organism: Danaus plexippus (monarch butterfly)
Lineage: Eukaryota; Metazoa; Arthropoda; Insecta; Lepidoptera; Nymphalidae
Exons: 2
Source: RefSeq, a predicted model, not a curated record